Molecule: non-coding RNA, 211 nt
Organism: Paramuricea clavata
Lineage: Eukaryota; Metazoa; Cnidaria; Anthozoa; Malacalcyonacea; Plexauridae
Source: the annotation of a GenBank genome assembly
CUGUGAAUAAAUUUGUUGUCCCAGGGGUAUUCUCAACGGCUUUGUCAUGCUCAGCAGAACGUUAAACUAAGCAUUAUCACGUCUUUCAAGCAACGCGAAGCUUAUUGCGACCCAAAAGGUGAUACUUAGCCUAAAGUCGAAAUUACAGCAAACAUUGCAUCGCUUUAGUCAAUCUUAGCAGUUUGUAAUGUUAUUUGAAAAUCGUCAAACA